UAAAUAAACUCAUCAUAGAUAUCAGGACAAAAUUUUGUAUAUACGCCAGACAUGCGUUUCGUCUACAAAAGACUCAUCAGUGACGCUCGAAUCCCAAAAAAUUAAAAAAAGCCAAAUAAAGUACGAAGUUGAAGAGCAUUGAGGACUAAAAUUCCUAAAAGUUUUGCCAAAUCCAGCUAAUCUAUGCCUGAGGUAGAAAAGCCUUAGUAUUUCAAAAAUUCUAAAUUUUGUAAACAGUUAAUUUAUAAAUAUAACCAUAUCAAUGAUAAUUCAUGUCAGCACAAAACGUGCUGACUACUGGGCUGGUGAUACCCACGGGGAAUAUAAAUCUCCACCAGCAGUGGCAUCGACCCAGUGGUUGUAAAUAAACUCAUCAUAGAUAUCAGGACAAAAUAUUGUAUAUACGCCAGACGCGCGUUUCGUCUACAAAAGACUCAUCAGUGACGCUCGAAUCCCAAAAAAUUAAAAAAAGCCAAAUAAAGUACGAAGUUGAAAAGCAUUGAGGACUAAAAUUCCUAAAAGUUUUG
RNAcentral lists this long non-coding RNA (527 nucleotides) under Mytilus galloprovincialis (Mediterranean mussel). The record is from RNAcentral. Lineage: Eukaryota; Metazoa; Mollusca; Bivalvia; Mytilida; Mytilidae.